Long non-coding RNA from Nomascus leucogenys (northern white-cheeked gibbon), 1094 nucleotides. RefSeq lists it as uncharacterized. The transcript is spliced from 3 exons. NCBI's taxonomy places the organism in Eukaryota, Metazoa, Chordata, Mammalia, Primates, Hylobatidae. The record is from RefSeq and is a predicted model, not a curated record.
GCUUUUAUGAGCUGUAACACUCGCUGCAAAGGUCUGCAGCUUCACUCCUGAAGCCAGCGAGACCACGAGCCCACCAGGAGAAACAAACAACUCCAGAUGCCUCGCUUUAAGAGCUGUAACAUUCACCACGAAGGUCUGCAGCUUCACUCCUGAGCCAGCGAGACCACGAACCCACCAGAAGGAAGAAACUCCGAACACAUCUGAACAUCAGAAGGAACAAACUCUGGACACGCCGCCUUUAGAACUGUAACACUCACCGCGAGGGUCCGCGGCUUCAUUCUUGAAGUCAGUGAGACCAAGAACCCGCCAAUUCCCGACACAAUUUCAAGUCCUCAGGUGCUAUCAAUAUUCUGAAAAUGGCAGUAAUUUUUAUUCAACCUGUAUAAGCCACUUUCACCAUGUACCUGGAAGCAACAUCCACAUCUUUUUCAGAGUUGAACCAGAGUCUGGUGAAUAUCAGCACUGGGACCAGUUAGCAGAGGAAAAGGGAAGAAUAAAAGGGAAAAGAAUGAAGAGCCAUAUGAUUACCAACUUUUCCUUUUUCAUAUAAAUUGAGUGUAUUUGGGUCUGGAACAACCUGAAUUUCCAUCAAGUCCUGGCUAACCUCAUUAUGCCCUAUGAAUAUUUUUUACUAAUCCCACUUUACAUUAAUCUGUAUUGUGAAUGUGGAUAUUGAAUUCCAUUUCUUUGUAAUCCCAUUAUCCAAAAUCCAGUUCAGAGACUAUCAGUUACCAAUGUUCACUGUGAAGGAAAAAAAAAAAAAACUCGGAGGAUAAACAUGUGAUAUGGUUUGGCUGUGUCCCCACCCAAAUAUCAUCUUGAAUUGUAGCUCCCAUAAUUCCCACAUGUUGUGGGAGGGACCCAGUGGGAGAAAAUUGAAUCAUGGGGGUGGUUCCCCCAUACUAUUCUUGUAGUAGUGAAUAAGUCUCACAAGACCUGAUGAUUUUAUGAGGGGAAAAACUCCUUUCACUUGGCUCUCAUUCUCUUCUCUGGUCUGUCGUCAUGUGAGACAUGCCUUUCACCUUCACCAUGAUUGUGAGGCCUCCCCAGCCAUGAGGAACUGUGAGCCCAUUAAACCUCUUUCACUUAUAAAU